RNAcentral lists this transfer RNA (74 nucleotides) under Candidatus Yanofskybacteria bacterium CG10_big_fil_rev_8_21_14_0_10_36_16. Its description in RNAcentral is "tRNA-Gly". It matches the Rfam family "tRNA". Rfam says of the family: Transfer RNA (tRNA) molecules are approximately 80 nucleotides in length. Their secondary structure includes four short double-helical elements and three loops (D, anti-codon, and T loops). The record is from RNAcentral. Lineage: Bacteria; Candidatus Yanofskyibacteriota.
GCGGGUAUAGUAUAGUGGUAGUACGGGACCCUUCCAAGGUCUAAGCAGGGGUUCGAAUCCCCUUACCCGCUCCC